This 514-nucleotide ribosomal RNA is filed under the name Mesorhizobium sp. RNAcentral's name for it is "bacterial SSU rRNA". It matches the Rfam family "Bacterial small subunit ribosomal RNA", at positions 900 to 1414 of the family's 1533-position model. Lineage: Bacteria; Pseudomonadati; Pseudomonadota; Alphaproteobacteria; Hyphomicrobiales; Phyllobacteriaceae. The record is from RNAcentral.
CUCAAAUGAAUUGACGGGGGCCCGCACAAGCGGUGGAGCAUGUGGUUUAAUUCGAUGCAACGCGAAGAACCUUACCUACUCUUGACAUCCAGAGAACUUAGCAGAGAUGCUUUGGUGCCUUCGGGAACUCUGAGACAGGUGCUGCAUGGCUGUCGUCAGCUCGUGUUGUGAAAUGUUGGGUUAAGUCCCGCAACGAGCGCAACCCUUAUCCUUUGUUGCCAGCGGUCCGGCCGGGAACUCAAAGGAGACUGCCAGUGAUAAACUGGAGGAAGGUGGGGAUGACGUCAAGUCAUCAUGGCCCUUACGAGUAGGGCUACACACGUGCUACAAUGGCGCAUACAAAGAGAAGCGACCUCGCGAGAGCAAGCGGACCUCAUAAAGUGCGUCGUAGUCCGGAUUGGAGUCUGCAACUCGACUCCAUGAAGUCGGAAUCGCUAGUAAUCGUAGAUCAGAAUGCUACGGUGAAUACGUUCCCGGGCCUUGUACACACCGCCCGUCACACCAUGGGAGUGGG